RNAcentral lists this small RNA (195 nucleotides) under Arabidopsis thaliana (thale cress). RNAcentral describes it as "ATSL052580". The record is from RNAcentral. Lineage: Eukaryota; Viridiplantae; Streptophyta; Magnoliopsida; Brassicales; Brassicaceae.
AACGUAAAAUAUUAUUAUAAGAAACUUUCACAUAAGUGGAUGAAAAAAGAAUUACUCUCAUAGUUUGUCAAAGUGAGAUAUGGUUUUCACUGUUUGUUUUUUUAAUCGUUUUCGGACCAAAAUACCCUUAUUCGGUGCAACCAAACCACACAGCAGUUGGAUUCGGUUUAGUUUCUGCGGUUCAGUUUUGAAAAA